GGUGCUGAUAAAUGAGCUUCUGUUACCUGUGGAACCUAGCUGUCCUCCCUCUGGUACCAGUGUCAGUGUAAAGGAUGAUAUAUAGUGAGCAGGUGGUUUUACAAAGUGACAGAUAUUUGCUUUGUGUCAGGGUCAUAACCAGAACCCCAACUAAGACAUAAAUAAGAUGACACUAAAUAUUGAUAAGAGGAUAAUUUGAUGGAUUUGAUAACGCUUUAAAAAGUUCAAUGACAUGGAUUCAUCACACUUUCCUUGCAAAAACAUCAAACUAGGAGUUCACAUGCAGGCGUUUUUUGGAAAUACACCAAAGCCUUUUUGAUUUCAUACCUACUGUGAUCAAAAUGGCAAUUUAAAGGCACUGAAGUAACUGUUAAUGACUUUUAAAAUGAAGCUUGUAGGCUACAGUACAGUAAUCAAAAGAAAAGAGCUCAAAGAACUAAUGAGAAGUACGCUAGGAUUUCCCUGGCAAUACCUCCACACAAAUGCCCAUAAACAUGACAAAAGCAUGGUAGUAAUUAGAACUUGGCAAUCAGUGAAAUUACAUGGAAGUGUGUUUUAGCGCUCUGAAUUGUUAGGUUCUUUCCCACAGAUUUUAUUGAUCUUCUGUGGGAACCUGAGUAAAUUGUGCAAAGAUGGCUUGAAGGAGAAGUAGAGUUAAGUUAAUUUGUAACACAUGUAUUUAAAAAAAACGAAAUCAGACCUCUGGAACUGAUACAAGAUCGAUGGAACUGAUUCAUAAUCAAUGAUCCUGGUCGCAUUAAAUGUUUCAUAGUUUCCAGCCGGUGGCACAGGAAAACUGUUAUAUGUACAUGAUGUUGGUAGAGACAGAGCUUUGGCUAACAAUGAGAGUUCACUCAAGCAGAACAGCAAAUAUUGAUUGGUAUUUAUCCCUUUCAAGUUUCCUCUAGAUGGGCAAAUAAAUUAUUAAACCACAAAUUUAUUUGCCGUGACUCAAGACAGUUUCACUUCCCGGUCUUUCUUGAACUUGCAUGCAAAGUGAACUCACUGUGAGGUAUAUUAACUUAUUGGUGUGUUUGCCAUCGGAUAGAUUGUUUUCACUUAAGACAAAAAUCUGACCAUGAGUUUUUAACUGGAUUUAACCAUUUUUAUAUGCACUGACUUGUCCCAAUAAAGCUGUUCUCUCUUCUUGUUCAUGUUGUUAAAGAACUCAGCUGUUGCUGCUUCAUUGUUCAUAAUGUCUCACAAAUAAAGACAGAAACAAAAACACAGCUGUUGCUUCACACUCCCCCACUCCCACUUCUUACCCCUGGAAAUUUUAUUCUCCUCUUCUCUUGUGUCUGUCACUUGUUGGCCAUUGAGACAUUCAACAAUCCAGGUUUACAGUGAAAAGUUGUCAGUUUUGGUUUUAGGCUACCCCAAUGUGUCUGUCCAUUCCAGUAACAGCAAAAGCAGAAACUUGUAAUGUCAUAUGGAGCCUACAGCGGCUAAAUUGAAGGCGGUACAUCUUCCAAUCAGGUGAUAAUAAUUCUGAUAGUUGGUAGUUCUAUAUACCUUUUGUUACUCUAAACGACAGUGCACCCAUUUCUAUGAGUUAUUACGUCUAUUUAAAUUGUAUUUUUUAAGUAAAAGUUUCUAAUAACACAUUGCUAAAGUAUAUUGUUAGAGUAUCGGGACUCUUAAAAAGAUGAGACUUGUUAUAUCCCCUUCAAAACAGCAUUAUAGUUGAAUGAAUUAACAACUUUAUCCUUGUGAUAUAAUGACUUAAAUCUUGAAAGAUCAUGACUUUACUCUCAAAACAAACUGACUUAAAACUCAUUGCAUAACUUUACCAUGUAUGGAUGUAAAGUAAAUGUUUCAGGUAAUUCUUUGAACUUAGACCUUACUUCGAUUUGAGCCAUGGUCUUUGUUUUUGAGAGAGUAGAAACUUUCAGUAAGGUUUUUAAAAAAAGUUGCCAUAUUGCAGACAUUUUGGUAGCUCUGGUUUACGUCACUCUUCAUUGCUGUGUACUUUUCCAUUUUGACACCAACAUAUAAUAGAGUCACUUUAAGGUUGCUGGUUUUGCCUGGUCUUUGGGUCAGGCGUGAUUCCCGCCUGUGGCUCCUUUCCUGCUCUUCUUUCCCUACUUUCUUCCUUCUUGUCAUCUUUUAACUAAAUACACCUUGUGGGGCACUGAGAGUUGCACAUUAUGGACUUUGUUAAAGCAAUACAAGUCAUCAUUCGUGGACAAACUUUGUCUUAUACACUGGUUCGACUAAUACUUUUGCCUUAGCAUAUUAUGCUAAUUUUAAGCUAGUAAAUUAUGGCAUCAGACUGGUAAAGAAACCACUGUGCCCCAUCAUUACUUAAAGGCUUUAUUUACUGCAUAGUUGCCAUCUGAACUUGUGUUUAAGGCUUCACUGCUUCAACAAGUUUAUUUUUAGUGAGUCCUUUCAUACAUUGACAGAUUUGGAAUAUCUACUUGUAAUUAUCUUGAAACAUACCUAACUUUUUCCUCUUUUAUUAAACUGUUAAUGCUUUGUAUGUUUUCCCAGAUGUACUUAAAGUCACAAAGUUCCUCUGAGAACUGUGUGACUCACUGAGAGGUUGUGUUUCUGACUAUAUGACCUUAUUGCCCUGCGUUGGUUUACAGGUCUUACAGCCAAAGUGGACACUUUCCAGCGUGUUGACUGUGUGACAGUGUGUGUGGACUUAUUCCACUACCCCUCAAUGCCAAGCUACGGUAUGUAUGCCCCCUCACAUAUACAGCAGACAUGAGCUUGCUGCAUCUGUACCAGGGAAAAUGUGAUGCAGAUUACUGUUUUGCGGUGAAAUGUCGACAUAUUAUGGGACUUCAAAAACAGCCAGUAAAACGUGGGUAUACAACCGUUUAAGCAUAUGCAGGCACACACUCAUGCGACCUCGACUCAGAGGGAAAAAUACAACUUUUUGUUAGUCUUGGAGGCUCAAGCACCAGUGUCACCACAUCCCGUACGGCAAGAAGAAGUCAUUUGACUAUUUAAAACACCCCCAUUUUAACAAUAAAAGGAGCAUUCAGCUGCCCUUGCUUUUUUAUAUUCUUGUUAAACAAGUAAGGAGCUGCUUUUUUCAUGGAGCCACCAAGUGCAUGAGGUGACUACACAAAGUGACGUAAAGAAAAGAACAAUGAAUUGUGUGUAUCUGUUGUUACUGAGCUGCUGAAGGACUAAAUGGUUGAGUUAGUGUCCCCAAACAAAAACCUGAAGCAAUGAGACCCCUACUUCCUCACUUUGCCGUGGAUAUGCUUUUGUCUUUCUGAAAGACACGUGAACAGAGGAGAUGGGUAUCGUAUAUCUUCUGAGAUUAUGACUGAGGGUGUGACUGUCUUUCCUCUGUCAAAGAAAGAC
This 3324-nucleotide long non-coding RNA is filed under the name Xyrichtys novacula (pearly razorfish). Lineage: Eukaryota; Metazoa; Chordata; Actinopteri; Labriformes; Labridae. The record is from RNAcentral.